This 595-nucleotide long non-coding RNA is filed under the name Malus domestica (apple). Its description in RNAcentral is "long non-coding RNA (MDOM_LNC020115)". Lineage: Eukaryota; Viridiplantae; Streptophyta; Magnoliopsida; Rosales; Rosaceae. The record is from RNAcentral.
UGUUCAACUUGGAAUCAACAUUUCAAAGCCUAAUCCACUCAAAGACAUGGGCUUUGGAAGUCUAUAAAUACAAGGUCCUCAAACAAGCAUAAAGGUCGACAAUUUCUACAUUGAAUGGCCGAAAUUCUCACAAAAGGAGAACCUCUGCCAAAUCUUUGAAGACUAAUACACUGCCAAAGCUCUCUUCAAAGAACGCACAACCAAAGCCAAAGCUUUCUUUUGACCAAAGAAGAAGCAUUCCUUUGAAGAAUUAACAAGCACUUGUGCCGAUUCCUUCAAGACUUUAUUGCAAACUCAAAACUUGUAAUGAUGUUUGUUCCAAGAUCAAGUCGCCAAGACCCUUGAAUCAACGAAAUUCUACAUCAACAUUCCGUUUGCCAUAGUCCUAAGCUUGAGGUGAAGACUAUCCAAGCAUCGUUUGAAGCUCAAAACAUGAAGCAAUCGUUCAUUCGUUCGUCCGAGAUGAAGUCAUUGUAACCCUUAGAUCAACAACCUACACAUCUACAUCAAAUUUGAAGACUGAAUUAGAGGAAAGUUGUAAAUAGAGAUUGUAACCUACAAAUUCAAAUCAAUACAAAUCUACUUUGUACAUGUG